UUCUCUGCUGCCACCUGGCGAAGACUCACAACCAAACAAGACACUGGAGUUUCAACUGCCUUAAUUUCUACCACCCUCAUGCCAACACAUGCGGAAUCUCUCAAGGACCAGAUGGAGGAUGCAUGAAUACUCCGUGGGCACCCAGCACUCCCAGAAGAAGCCUGGUGGCAAGGAUUUACCGGGUGAUCCUCACCUCUCUCCUCUCUGCUGUCUCUCCUUAGCCCAAGUAGUUCUGAGCAAAGAAAUCUGAACCUCGCUCUUGGCAAUGCAUCUCCACGGGGACUGUGGAGGGAAUCAGAAUAAAAGGGUCUGGACCUCUGAAAGAGCUAUGGCAAAUUCGCUGAGAUAAGAGCAGCUGGAAGUAACAUUCUGUCCCUGUAAUUCUAUGUGCAGCUGGUCUUGAGAAAUGAAUCCAAGGCAGUGACUGGAGCAAUUGCUUCAUUUCCUUCGAAGUACCUCAUCCAAUGCCAGGGGUGAUAAAUGCUGUAUUCUGGGGUUGUACUAAUAGCCCCAGUUGUGAAUACUGAAAGCCAGCCAUGUGGAAAUACAUCUAGAGGAUCCACCAAGUGACCUCAAAUACAGAGGAAGUUACUCAAAAGCAGAAAGAGUGGACACACCUGACCCUGGACCAUAGGCAGCACCAAUGGACAGGAUACUGUUCCACGUGUCAUGCCAGAGUCUUUGAGAGGAGGACUCCAAUGAAAAUAGGGCCUCCACCAGAUGAAUGGCAUCAAACCAGCAAUUAAUUCAAGGUUAGUUCCAAGGACACUAACCCUGUGGAACACCUGCCUUCCUUGGGACUGCCACCUAGAAAGCAAGAAGUGUUGUCUCCAAAACCAGAGCUGCCAUUCAUGAUGCUGAAGUGUUUGGAUUUGUCCCUGUUCUUACCAUGUCAUGAAUACGUGUUUUUUUUUCAAGAAGAACGGCAAAACAUGAUAAGUCUCUGUUGCAUUCUUCCAUCACGUGACAGAAAAUCUCAGAUGGAGAGAAGGGGUGAAGCUAGAAGGGAGGCAUCAGUGGAGGAUGGAAGCCUUCCUCACUUUCGUAUCUCCAUUAUCCAUGUUCACUCAUUUAACGAAGCCUCCAGAGACUUCCAGAAGGUUUCCAGAAAAAAUAGAAGGACUGAAGAGUGCAAGAGGGAAUUGGGUACCUCUAUAGAUAGCACCAACCCAGGGACGAACCUGUGGAGUCUUCACCCUCAGACAGUGCCCACAGUCUCCACCCACCAAGACCUGAUUUGGGCCUGA
RNAcentral lists this long non-coding RNA (1247 nucleotides) under Cricetulus griseus (Chinese hamster). RNAcentral's name for it is "lncRNA (ENSCGRG00000025206.1)". Lineage: Eukaryota; Metazoa; Chordata; Mammalia; Rodentia; Cricetidae. The record is from RNAcentral.